Long non-coding RNA from Daphnia magna, 419 nucleotides. RefSeq lists it as uncharacterized. The record is from RefSeq and is a predicted model, not a curated record. The transcript has 2 exons. NCBI's taxonomy places the organism in Eukaryota, Metazoa, Arthropoda, Branchiopoda, Diplostraca, Daphniidae.
CUCAUGUUGAAUUACAGGAGGUUGGUUCACAACUGCAUUACAGAUUUUUUAAAAAUGUAACAGAAAAACGAACAUACCACAUUCCUUGUGCCAAACCGACUUUCAAUGUAGUAAUUACUGAUGCAACUGAGUUGAUCAACGGUAUUUAGAAUCUAAACACGAGUAUGGGACGAAAACAAAAAAUAAAUAGGAACCAAGUCAACUUCCAGAGCUUUCAUUAAAAAUUCCACAAUGUACAACCUAAAGCAACUAUGAUUAACACUCAGCAAACAACAAAUAACAAACGAGAUUUUAAAAUGUUUGACUCCAAGACGUGCUAAUACAAAGGAAAUGUCUUAAACACAGGCUUCGAAUAAUGAACUAUCUUAACAAAAUUUAUGGAAGAAAGUUUGAACUGUGCUAAUAAACCGUUUUAGAAA